Non-coding RNA from Oligella urethralis DNF00040, 167 nucleotides. NCBI's taxonomy places the organism in Bacteria, Pseudomonadati, Pseudomonadota, Betaproteobacteria, Burkholderiales, Alcaligenaceae. The record is from Rfam.
UUGCCGGCUAACGGCAGGGUCUGAAGGAAGCCAUAGGAAGUAAGAUGUCCAUAGCGUUAGUGAACCUGAUUCGGCAGGUUAGGGGGGUAAGCGUGCAUAAUCUCGCAAAGCCCAAUACUUAGUCAGCCCUAACAUGUGAUUGAGGAUGGCAUAUCUUACAGGGAGUC